AUCACCUUGGAAUUUUAUUAAAAUACAGAUUCUGGUUCAGUAGGUCUGGAGUACAGCCUCAGACUCUGCAUUUCUAACAAGCUCCCAGGAGAUGCCAA
RNAcentral lists this microRNA precursor (98 nucleotides) under Loxodonta africana (African savanna elephant). Its description in RNAcentral is "mir-544 microRNA precursor family". It matches the Rfam family "mir-544 microRNA precursor family". The record is from Rfam by way of RNAcentral. Lineage: Eukaryota; Metazoa; Chordata; Mammalia; Proboscidea; Elephantidae.